This 467-nucleotide non-coding RNA is filed under the name Pongo abelii (Sumatran orangutan). Lineage: Eukaryota; Metazoa; Chordata; Mammalia; Primates; Hominidae. The record is from RNAcentral.
CACCUUCUCAUACCUGCACUGAACCAGCUUUGUCAUUCUGCCAGUAACCUCACUUAUGAGUUAAAUAAAAUCCUAACAUAUACUCCCAUUACAUUAAACAUUCACACUUUCAGAAGUCAGUGGUAGACAAGAAGCCUUUUAUUUUAAUUCACUGACAGACAAAUCAGCAAGCAAUUGAUGUGGGGACGAGAGAAGGGAGUUGAUAAUGGACUGAACAUUAGCAUCCCCCCCCAAAUUAAUAUGUUGAUGCCUUAACCCCCAAUGUGAUGGUAUUUGGAGGUGGAGUUGUUGGGAGAUAAACAGGUUUAGUUGAGUUCAUGGGGUGAGCCCAUGGGAGGACACAGCAAGAAGGUGGCAGCCUGCGAGCCAGGAUGGGAACCCUCACAAUGAAGCAAAGGUGCCAGCACCUUCAUCUUGGAAUUCCCAGAUUCUAGAACUGUACGAAAUAAAUGUCUGUUGUUUAAGCC